Molecule: ribosomal RNA, 440 nt
Filed under: Bacillus sp. SCN3318
Lineage: Bacteria; Bacillati; Bacillota; Bacilli; Caryophanales; Bacillaceae
Description: bacterial SSU rRNA
Rfam family: Bacterial small subunit ribosomal RNA
Source: RNAcentral
AACCUGCCUAUAAGACUGGGAUAACUUCGGGAAACCGGAGCUAAUACCGGAUACGUUCUUUUCUCGCAUGAGAGAAGAUGGAAAGACGGUUUACGCUGUCACUUAUAGAUGGGCCCGCGGCGCAUUAGCUAGUUGGUGAGGUAAUGGCUCACCAAGGCGACGAUGCGUAGCCGACCUGAGAGGGUGAUCGGCCACACUGGGACUGAGACACGGCCCAGACUCCUACGGGAGGCAGCAGUAGGGAAUCUUCCGCAAUGGACGAAAGUCUGACGGAGCAACGCCGCGUGAACGAAGAAGGCCUUCGGGUCGUAAAGUUCUGUUGUUAGGGAAGAACAAGUACCAGAGUAACUGCUGGUACCUUGACGGUACCUAACCAGAAAGCCACGGCUAACUACGUGCCAGCAGCCGCGGUAAUACGUAGGUGGCAAGCGUUGUCCGGA